UACGAGGGGGGCAAAUGUUGUUCGGAAUCACUGGGCGUAAAGGGAGCGUAGGCGGGUUUCUAAGUCAGGUGUUUAAUCCCGGGGCCCAACCCCGGACAGGCACUUGAAACUGGGAAUCUUGAAUAGUAGAGAGGUCAGUGGAAUUGGGGGUGUAGCGGUGGAAUGCGUAGAGAUCCCCAAGAACACCAGUUGCGAAGGCGGCUGACUGGACACAUAUUGACGCUGAGGCUCGAAAGCAUGGGGAGCAAACAGG
This 253-nucleotide ribosomal RNA is filed under the name uncultured bacterium. RNAcentral's name for it is "partial 16S ribosomal RNA". It matches the Rfam family "Bacterial small subunit ribosomal RNA", at positions 524 to 776 of the family's 1533-position model. The record is from RNAcentral.